This 467-nucleotide ribosomal RNA is filed under the name uncultured bacterium. RNAcentral's name for it is "partial 16S ribosomal RNA". It matches the Rfam family "Bacterial small subunit ribosomal RNA", at positions 28 to 506 of the family's 1533-position model. The record is from RNAcentral.
GACGAACGCUGGCGGCGUGCUUAACACAUGCAAGUCGAACGGAAAGGCCCUGCUUUUGUGGGGUGCUCGAGUGGCGAACGGGUGAGUAACACGUGAGUAACCUGCCCUUGACUUUGGGAUAACUUCAGGAAACUGGGGCUAAUACCGGAUAGGAGCUCCUGCUGCAUGGUGGGGGUUGGAAAGUUUCGGCGGUUGGGGAUGGACUCGCGGCUUAUCAGCUUGUUGGUGGGGUAGUGGCUUACCAAGGCUUUGACGGGUAGCCGGCCUGGGAGGGUGACCGGCAACAUAGGGACAGAGAUACGGCCCAGACGCAUACGGGAGGAAGGAGUGGGGAAAAUAGCACAAUGGGCGGAGGCCUGAUGGAGAAACGCCGCGUGCGGGAUGACGGCCUUCGGGUUGUAAACCGCUUUCGACUGUGACGAAGCGUGAGUGACGGAAAUGGGUAAAGAAGCACCGGCUAACUACGU